RNAcentral lists this ribosomal RNA (230 nucleotides) under uncultured microorganism. RNAcentral's name for it is "partial 16S ribosomal RNA". It matches the Rfam family "Bacterial small subunit ribosomal RNA", at positions 524 to 753 of the family's 1533-position model. The record is from RNAcentral.
UACGAAGGGUGCAAGCGUUACUCGGAAUUACUGGGCGUAAAGCGUGCGUAGGCGGUUCGUUAAGUCCGAUGUGAAAGCCCUGGGCUCAACCUGGGAACUGCAUUGGAAACUGGCGGGCUGGAGUGCGGUAGAGGGUGGCGGAAUUCCCGGUGUAGCAGUGAAAUGCGUAGAUAUCGGGAGGAACACCCGUGGCGAAGGCGGCCACCUGGACCAGCACUGACGCUGAGGCA